UUUCCGUGGUGGAACCAUCUCGAAAACUUCAUCCCGCGAUUCAUCGUUUUAGUCUUCUCACUUCGUUCGUUGUGGUCAACGAGCUGUCGGGUCUACUCGACCCGCUGGACCGAGUGCCGAUUCACGAGUGUGCCCCUCGGAGUGUUACCAGUGCCAAACGUGUCCUUGCUUUAAACCGUCCCGAUCGUGUCGGUGUUUUCGAUCGAUCAAAUUGGUCACAGAUUUCGAGAUAUGAGUGCAAACGGAGUAAUUGAUUUCGGGGGGUGUUUGCAGGAAUUUGAAAAUUAGGUACUGUGAAGGUUUAAAGAUUUACCAGUUUAAAGAUUAGGCACUGUGAAGGUUUGAAGAUUUACUCAGUUUGAAGAUUUAGGUAAUUGAAAGGUAACGGUGACAAAAAGGUGUUCUCAGUUUUUCCUUUUGAAUUAGCUGGGAAUUAUGGAAUUUUGGGGAGAACGUGGUGAGAACACGGUGAGAACUGGGUCAAAGUUUUUAGGACGCUAAUUUAUAGAAAACAGAGACACCUCGAAAUUGAAUAGAAAGGUGCAUGAAGAAGAACAGCUUCCUUUAUCUAGUGUUUUGACAUGCAAAACAGCAAUCUUGAGGUCCAUUAAGUGCGCCGAGAGAAUGAGGAACUGUUGAAUUCUCUCAACAGAGUCCUCGUUACCGAAAACUC
Molecule: unclassified non-coding RNA, 673 nt
Filed under: Megachile rotundata (alfalfa leafcutting bee)
Lineage: Eukaryota; Metazoa; Arthropoda; Insecta; Hymenoptera; Megachilidae
Description: transcription factor MafB-like, transcript variant X1
Source: RNAcentral